ACUAUGGAGAGUUUGAUCCUGGCUCAGGAUGAACGCUAGCGGCAGGCCUAAUACAUGCAAGCUGAACGGUAAGAUUUGUAGCAAUACGGAUCCUAGAGUAGCGU
This 104-nucleotide ribosomal RNA is filed under the name Cyclobacteriaceae bacterium. RNAcentral's name for it is "partial 16S ribosomal RNA". It matches the Rfam family "Bacterial small subunit ribosomal RNA", at positions 1 to 101 of the family's 1533-position model. Lineage: Bacteria; Pseudomonadati; Bacteroidota; Cytophagia; Cytophagales; Cyclobacteriaceae. The record is from RNAcentral.